GUGGGGAAUAUUGGGCAAUGGGCGAAAGCCUGACCCAGCAACUCCGCGUGAAGGAAGAAGGUUUUCGGAUCGUAAACUUCUAUCCUUGGUGAAGAUAAUGACGGUAGCCGAGAAGGAAGCCCCGGCUAACUACGUGCCAGCAGCCGCGGUAAUACGUAGGGGGCAAGCGUUGUCCGGAAUGAUUGGGCGUAAAGGGCGCGUAGGCGGCCUGGUAAGUCUGGAGUGAAAGUCCUGCUUUUAAGGUGGGAAUUGCUUUGGAUACUGUCGGGCUUGAGUGCAGGAGAGGUAAGUGGAAUUCCCGGUGUAGCGGUGAAAUGCGUAGAGAUCGGGAGGAACACCAGUGGCGAAGGCGACUUACUGGACUGUAACUGACGCUGAGGCGCGAAAGUGUGGGGAGCAAACAGGAUUAGAUACCCUGGUAGUCC
Molecule: ribosomal RNA, 425 nt
Filed under: uncultured bacterium
Lineage: Bacteria
Description: partial 16S ribosomal RNA
Rfam family: Bacterial small subunit ribosomal RNA
Source: RNAcentral